UGGGGCGAUGGAGGCCGGAAGCGGGGCAUUUGGGGGUCAAUGGGGACCGGAAGCGGGGUAUUUGGGGGUCAAUGGGGACCGGAAGCGUGGCCUUUCGGGGCAGUGGGGACCGGAAGUGGGGCUGAGGGAGUCAGGGCACCGGGUGGGGGAAUUUACCCCCAAACUGAGGCCUCUCCUCCCCAUGCCCUGGAAGCAAGGCGGUGCCGUCGCCUGGCGUUGUGGUGCUGAGUUGAGACGAAGGCCACGAGUCAAACUUGGCGCCGAGCCGGUGUCACGUCCAGGCGACGUGUCGUCAGGUUGCCCCCGUAGGGCAGCCACCUCCGAGCAGCAAAACACCGGGACAGCCAGGCUGGGCCGGAGCCCCCAGAACCGGCCAGCUGGCAGCGUGUGCUCUGCACCCUGACUCACAGAUCUCCCCGGCCAGCCCCCGCCACGAAGGGACGACCCCGGGAGAACCUGACAGGUGGCAACAUGCCCUUCCCCCCCCCCGGCAGGGUUCCAUUUACAUUAGAACACGGCAUGAGCUCAGGCCGGGGCACUGGGUCAGAAAGUGGCCUUGGCAUGACAUGCGAGCACCCAGGCAAUGGGAUGGCGUGGGCUGCUGUCUGAAUGGGGCACCAAGAUGAAACACCAUCACCUCGUGGCACAAUGGUGUCACAAGAAACAGCAUCGGAGGGACACCGAGCACCUCACAACACGGGGGCCUCAUGCAACAGCACGCCAUUGAAAUGAAACAGCCAUGCACCAUUACGGCCUCCUGCCACGUCCUGGCUGCGACGCACCGUGUCCAGAUGAAAUACCAGCUCGCCAGUGUCUAGUUGAAUAGUCGAUGCCCCACAACGCUGCUAAACUGUGCCUCGCAAGACGAUGUGACAAUGGCACGUUGCAAUGUUGUGUUGUUAUGCUGACCCCCAGCUGAUGCCCUGCGAUGCAAACUGGCAGCGUAGUGCCAAAGUAUGUCACAUCAAGAACCAGCAUCUCAGGGUCUGAGAUACCAGUGUGUUGGAGUAUUCCAGCCUCAAGGAGAAAUGUGAAGGACUUUAACCUUUAUGACUUCACGAAAUGUCACCAUGUCAUAUCUUGUAACCUGAUGGAUACACUUGAUUCCGACCUGGGAUUGCAGUUCCUGCCAUGAGCAGCUCCUAGGUGCAGCUCCUGCCACCUCAGCCAGGAAGAAAGAUACUCCCAAGCUCAGCACAGCUGGUACCAGCUUGUCUCAGGAAGUUUACCGGUGCAUGCCAUCCCCUUCUUCCCCUCGCAUCCUGAAUUGUUUCUUGGUGUUGCUCCAUGUUGCCUGUCGUGCACCACCCCAGAGGUGGCUGCAUUUCGGAGCUGAGUGAAGCAACGGUGAUCUAGCUGUCUGCUGGAUCCAUUCUUCAAGAUGAAAGAUUCCUUGGAGACCUCAGACCAGCAGCAGGCCUUGGCUCGGCGUAACAGACCGCGUAUCUUGAUGAUCCUUGGUGAACAGAAGGGGACCCACGCUGAUGCUCAGUCCCUUUGGAAUGUCUGAUGGGCCAAUUGGAGUGGUGUUUGCAGCUAAACUGGAGAUGGAUGGAUCGAUCUAGCUAUCCGCAUACGCCCCGUCUGUCUGUCUGUCUACUAGAGCAUUUACCAUCAGGAAAAACUGAACUCCCAAAUGCUCAGUGGAGGCUAAAAUUUCCAUGUAGGUUGAAAAUGUAACCAGUAUUCAUUACCAAUCUCCUUCUGCUUCUGCAUUAAACCGCUGGGGUGGGUGGCUCAGUAGGGGGCG
Long non-coding RNA from Chelonia mydas (Green sea turtle), 1750 nucleotides. RefSeq lists it as uncharacterized. The transcript is spliced from 3 exons. The record is from RefSeq and is a predicted model, not a curated record. NCBI's taxonomy places the organism in Eukaryota, Metazoa, Chordata, Testudines, Cheloniidae.